This 801-nucleotide ribosomal RNA is filed under the name uncultured Rubrobacter sp. Its description in RNAcentral is "bacterial SSU rRNA". It matches the Rfam family "Bacterial small subunit ribosomal RNA", at positions 8 to 796 of the family's 1533-position model. Lineage: Bacteria; Bacillati; Actinomycetota; Rubrobacteria; Rubrobacterales; Rubrobacteraceae. The record is from RNAcentral.
AGAGUUUGAUCAUGGCUCAGGACGAACGCUGACGGUGUGCUUUAGGCAUGCAAGUCGAACGAGAAAGCCCUUCGGGGUGAGUAAAGUGGCGAACGGGUGAGUAACACGUGGGCAACCUGCCCCUCGCAGGGGGACAACCGGAGGAAACUCCGGCUAAUACCCCGUACGCUUGCUGGAUCGCAUGGUCCGGCAAGGAAAGGUAGCUUCGGCCAUCCGGCGAGGGAUGGGCCCGCGUUGCAUUAGCUAGUUGGUGGGGUAACGGCCUACCAAGGCGACGAUGCGUAGCUGGUCUGAGAGGAUGAUCAGCCACACUGGGACUGAGACACGGCCCAGACUCCUACGGGAGGCAGCAGCCAGGAAUCUUGGGCAAUGGGCGAAAGCCUGACCCAGCAACACCGUGUGGGCGAUGAAGGCCUUAGGGUCGUAAAGCCCUGUUGAUAGGGACGAAGGGCGAAGGGUUAAUAGCCCCCAGCUUGACGGUACCUUUCGAGGAAGCCCCGGCUAACUACGUGCCAGCAGCCGCGGUAAUACGUAGGGGGCGAGCGUUGUCCGGAAUUAUUGGGCGUAAAGAGCGUGUAGGCGGUUCGGUAAGUCUGCUGUGAAAUCCUGGGGCUCAACCCUGGGCGUGCAGCGGAUACUGCCGGGCUAGAGGGUGGUAGAGGCGAGUGGAAUUCCGAGUGUAGCGGUGAAAUGCGCAGAUAUUCGGAGGAACACCAGUAGCGAAGGCGGCUCGCUGGGCCACACCUGACGCUGAGACGCGAAAGCGUGGGGAGCGAACAGGAUUAGAUACCCCCGUAGUCC